Molecule: ribosomal RNA, 568 nt
Filed under: uncultured archaeon
Lineage: Archaea
Description: bacterial SSU rRNA
Rfam family: Archaeal small subunit ribosomal RNA
Source: RNAcentral
CCGCGAAUCGCCCUUCGGGGUGCACCAGGCGCGAAAACUCUACAAUGCAGGCAACUGCGAUAGGGGAACAUCGAGUGAUCCUCAUAUUGGGGGUCUGUCCACCCGUCUAAAAAACGGGUGUUAGCAAGGGCCGGGCAAGACCGGUGCCAGCCGCCGCGGUAAUACCGGCGGCUCGAGUGGUGGCCGAUAUUAUUGAGUCUAAAGGGUCCGUAGCCGGCUUUGCAAGUCUCUCGGGAAAUCCAGCGGCUUAACCGUUGGUCGUCCGGGGGGUACUACAUUGCUUGGGACUGGGAGAGGUAGGAGGUACUCAGGGGGUAGGAGUGAAAUCCUGUAAUCCUUUGGGGACCACCGGUGGCGAAGGCGUCCUACCAGAACAGGUCCGACGGUGAGGGACGAAAGCUAGGGGCACGAACCGGAUUAUAUACCCGGGUAGUCCUAGCCGUAAACGAUGCUCGCUAGGUGUCACAACAGUCGUGAACUGUUGUGGUGCCGUAGGGAAGCCGUGAAGCGAGCCACUUGGGAAGUACGACCGCAAGGUUGAAACUUAAAGGAAUUGGCGGGGGAGCAC